RNAcentral lists this ribosomal RNA (466 nucleotides) under uncultured bacterium. RNAcentral's name for it is "partial 16S ribosomal RNA". It matches the Rfam family "Bacterial small subunit ribosomal RNA", at positions 28 to 507 of the family's 1533-position model. The record is from RNAcentral.
GAUGAACGCUGGCGGCGUGCUUAACACAUGCAAGUCGAACGAUGAAGCCCAGCUUGCUGGGUGGAUUAGUGGCGAACGGGUGAGUAACACGUGAGUAACCUGCCCUUAACUCUGGGAUAAGCCUGGGAAACUGGGUCUAAUACCGGAUAGGAGCGUCCACCGCAUGGUGGGUGUUGGAAAGAUUUAUCGGUUUUGGAUGGACUCGCGGCCUAUCAGCUUGUUGGUGAGGUAAUGGCUCACCAAGGCGACGACGGGUAGCCGGCCUGAGAGGGUGACCGGCCACACUGGGACUGAGACACGGCCCAGACUCCUACGGGAGGCAGCAGUGGGGAAUAUUGCACAAUGGGCGCAAGCCUGAUGCAGCGACGCCGCGUGAGGGAUGACGGCCUUCGGAUUGUAAACCUCUUUCAGUAGGGAAGAAGCGAAAGUGACGGUACCUGCAGAAGAAGCACCGGCUAACUACGUG